AUUGAACGCUGGCGGCAGGCCUAACACAUGCAAGUCGAGCGGAGGAAGGGAGCUUGCUCCUGGAUUCAGCGGCGGACGGGUGAGUAAUGCCUAGGAAUCUGCCUGGUAGUGGGGGAUAACGUCCGGAAACGGGCGCUACUACCGCAUACGUCCUGAGGGAGAAAGUGGGGGAUCUUCGGUCCUCACGCUAUCAGAUGAGUCGAUGUGGGUUUAGCUAGUUGGUGGGGUAAAGGCGUACCAAGGCGACUAUCCGUAAUUGGUCUGGGGGGUUGAUCAGUCACACUGGAACAGAGACACGGUCCAGACUCCGACGGGAGGCAGCAGUGGGGAAUAUUGGACAAGGGGGGGGAGCCUUAUCCAGCCAUGCCGCGUGUGUUAAGAAGGCCUUCGGAUUUGAAAGCACUUUAAGUUGGGAGGAAGGGCAGUAAGUUAAUGUCGUGCUGUUUUGACGUUACCAUCAGAAUAAGCACCGGCUAACUUCGUG
Molecule: ribosomal RNA, 484 nt
Filed under: uncultured bacterium
Lineage: Bacteria
Description: partial 16S ribosomal RNA
Rfam family: Bacterial small subunit ribosomal RNA
Source: RNAcentral